Molecule: ribosomal RNA, 1431 nt
Filed under: uncultured organism
Description: 16S ribosomal RNA
Rfam family: Bacterial small subunit ribosomal RNA
Source: RNAcentral
CUUAACACAUGCAAGUCGAGGGGCAGCAUUUUAGUUUGCUUGCAAACUGAAGAUGGCGACCGGCGCACGGGUGAGUAACACGUAUCCAACCUGCCGAUAACUCCGGGAUAGCCUUUCGAAAGAAAGAUUAAUACCGGAUAGCAUACGAAUAUCGCAUGAUAUUUUUAUUAAAGAAUUUCGGUUAUCGAUGGGGAUGCGUUCCAUUAGUUUGUUGGCGGGGUAACGGCCCACCAAGACUACGAUGGAUAGGGGUUCUGAGAGGAAGGUCCCCCACAUUGGAACUGAGACACGGUCCAAACUCCUACGGGAGGCAGCAGUGAGGAAUAUUGGUCAAUGGGCGCGAGCCUGAACCAGCCAAGUAGCGUGAAGGAUGAAGGCUCUAUGGGUCGUAAACUUCUUUUAUAUGGGAAUAAAGUUUUCCACGUGUGGAAUUUUGUAUGUACCAUAUGAAUAAGGAUCGGCUAACUCCGUGCCAGCAGCCGCGGUAAUACGGAGGAUCCGAGCGUUAUCCGGAUUUAUUGGGUUUAAAGGGAGCGUAGGUGGAUUGUUAAGUCAGUUGUGAAAGUUUGCGGCUCAACCGUAAAAUUGCAGUUGAAACUGGCAGUCUUGAGUACAGUAGAGGUGGGCGGAAUUCGUGGUGUAGCGGUGAAAUGCUUAGAUAUCACGAAGAACUCCGAUUGCGAAGGCAGCUCACUAGACUGUCACUGACACUGAUGCUCGAAAGUGUGGGUAUCAAACAGGAUUAGAUACCCUGGUAGUCCACACAGUAAACGAUGAAUACUCGCUGUUUGCGAUAUACAGUAAGCGGCCAAGCGAAAGCAUUAAGUAUUCCACCUGGGGAGUACGCCGGCAACGGUGAAACUCAAAGGAAUUGACGGGGGCCCGCACAAGCGGAGGAACAUGUGGUUUAAUUCGAUGAUACGCGAGGAACCUUACCCGGGCUUAAAUUGCAACAGAAUAUAUUGGAAACAGUAUAGCCGUAAGGCUGUUGUGAAGGUGCUGCAUGGUUGUCGUCAGCUCGUGCCGUGAGGUGUCGGCUUAAGUGCCAUAACGAGCGCAACCCUUAUCUUUAGUUACUAACAGGUCAUGCUGAGGACUCUAGAGAGACUGCCGUCGUAAGAUGUGAGGAAGGUGGGGAUGACGUCAAAUCAGCACGGCCCUUACGUCCGGGGCUACACACGUGUUACAAUGGGGGGUACAGAAGGCGGCUACCUGGUGACAGGAUGCUAAUCCCAAAAACCUCUCUCAGUUCGGAUCGAAGUCUGCAACCCGACUUCGUGAAGCUGGAUUCGCUAGUAAUCGCGCAUCAGCCAUGGCGCGGUGAAUACGUUCCCGGGCCUUGUACACACCGCCCGUCAAGCCAUGAAAGCCGGGGGUACCUGAAGUACGUAACCGCAAGGAGCGUCCUAGGGUAAAACUGGUAAUUGGGGC